ACCCAUGUCCCCUGCAUCGGCAGGCGGACUCUCAACCACUGCGCCACCAGGGAAGCCCUGAAGUUCCAUGUUUUAUAUUCUGUCUUCACAACGAGCUCGUCAGCCUGAGGAUGGCUCCCAGAUCUCUCUAGCUCAACCCCUGCAACUUACAAGUGCAGCAGGUAGUUGCUAAUGUUGCCUCCUCACUUUUGGGACAAGGACCCUGUUUUAUACCCUGUGCACCCUUCAUAGCAGAUGGUCCAGUGCCUUGUACAUGGCGGAUUCUUAACCACUGUGCCAUCAGGGAAGCCCCC
Molecule: non-coding RNA, 293 nt
Organism: Delphinapterus leucas (beluga whale)
Lineage: Eukaryota; Metazoa; Chordata; Mammalia; Artiodactyla; Monodontidae
Source: RefSeq, a predicted model, not a curated record